GAUGAACGCUAGCUACAGGCUUAACACAUGCAAGUCGAGGGGCAGCAUGAACUUAGCUUGCUAAGUUUGAUGGCGACCGGCGCACGGGUGAGUAACACGUAUCCAACCUGCCGAUGACUCGGGGAUAGCCUUUCGAAAGAAAGAUUAAUACCCGAUGGCAUAGUUCUUCCGCAUGGUAGAACUAUUAAAGAAUUUCGGUCAUCGAUGGGGAUGCGUUCCAUUAGGUUGUUGGCGGGGUAACGGCCCACCAAGCCUUCGAUGGAUAGGGGUUCUGAGAGGAAGGUCCCCCACAUUGGAACUGAGACACGGUCCAAACUCCUACGGGAGGCAGCAGUGAGGAAUAUUGGUCAAUGGACGAGAGUCUGAACCAGCCAAGUAGCGUGAAGGAUGACUGCCCUAUGGGUCGUAAACUUCUUUUAUACGGGAAUAAAGUGAGGCACGUGUGCCUUUUUGUAUGUACCGUAUGAAUAAGGAUCGGCUAACUCCGUG
This 489-nucleotide ribosomal RNA is filed under the name uncultured bacterium. RNAcentral describes it as "partial 16S ribosomal RNA". It matches the Rfam family "Bacterial small subunit ribosomal RNA", at positions 28 to 507 of the family's 1533-position model. The record is from RNAcentral.